Long non-coding RNA from Nannospalax galili (Upper Galilee mountains blind mole rat), 1515 nucleotides. RefSeq lists it as uncharacterized. NCBI's taxonomy places the organism in Eukaryota, Metazoa, Chordata, Mammalia, Rodentia, Spalacidae. The transcript is spliced from 2 exons. The record is from RefSeq and is a predicted model, not a curated record.
GAGGGUAUGAAGACAAUUUAGCUGAAUUACCUUAACUAACAACAUAAACUAAUGUGACUGGAAUGUUUUAUGUGUGUAUAUCACUGUACUUUCCUGUUUGCAGCCAUCACACAUCCUUGUCCUACAUCUCACAAAACAGUGCCAUUGUUACCCCUUUUUGCUCUGGAUAUGUGUGUGUGUAUUUCUGUAUUUAUAUAUUCAUAUAUUUAAUAUAUAACAUGCAUAUAUUUAAACAUAAUAGCUUUGAAAGUGAGUCCAUGCAUUGAUUUUAGAAUAUUUAAUAUUGAUAUAAUUUAAAUAUUCAAUUUUUCUUGUACAGCUAUGAGGAAAUAGAGCUGUGUGAGUAUUGACCAAAUUUUAUAUACAAAUAAACAAAUGAGAUUGUCCAAGGUAAACCAAACAAAUGAGAAUGGCUUGUCUUGUGAGACAGGUUGAUUGGUGAAAAGAAACUGGUUGAUCACAGGAGCUAAAAUUCCAGUAAAAGAGAGACUUCCAGAAGCACAAGGAGUGAACACAGUUCUCCCCGCUCCACUGGAGACUCAGCUGAUCCAUCAGGACACAGUCAGGUCGGUUCCUAGGCCACUGUGGAAUAGGACGCAGCACAGGAGGGAAAAUGACAGCAGCAUGUUAGAAUGGAAGUUUGGCCAAUGUUCUGGAACUAAAUGAAGGGAAUGGAAACCAGGAAGUAGUACAUCCUUCAGGCUGUGUUCCUAUACCAUGGAGUGCAUGAGAAGUCAGGGUUUUUCUCCAGGAGUAGGAAAUUGUUGAAUGUAAAGUCCUUCACCCAAGGAAGAUCUACAAGAAAGGAUCCUGGGAAUCAACAGUCAUGGAAUCAACUACUUUCCAGGUCCACUCAGUGAUGGUGCUGCUGCUCUAUCUCCUGUGUGCCCUCAGUAUCCAGAGUUUCUGAAACCUCCUGGGUACCUCCCACCUCCUGUGUUCUUCAUGGUACAGGAUCCUCUGGCAUCCCAGUGGCAGCCCUGGAACACAAACACUCCAUGGGUAGCUCCACACCUGCUUCUUGCCAUGGUCCCAAAAGCCUCCAGCUACCAGCAGCCAUGCUCAGCCUCUUGCAACCAACCAGAUCCUCAAUGAAGACCCUCUCUGGAACAGAAUUGUGCAAUUUUGUAACUGUUGGUUUAUUGCUGUACUUACUAUAAGAACUAAGGGAAAAAUGCAGAGAAAGAUCAAUGGACACAGGGUCUGCUGAGGAAUAUGUAACAGUAGACUUCAGACUGGGUUAUGCUCAGAGCCCUAGAGACUGGAAUGUACUAGAUGCUGUCACCAGCAAAUUACCUAGAUACUUUGUCCACUUAUAUAUGACAAGGACACUUAUUUGUUCCAUUCCCACAUGACCAAAGGGUUAAUGACCCUCCCUCAACUUCUCUUAAAAAGGACUAAUUCUUGAUUUGGGAAGCCUCCAGACUUUCUCAUAUUCCAUAAAGCUGCAAUUACUGUUAACAGGAUAUUAGCGUGCAGGUUUUAACAGAAGAAUUGAAGUUAUUAGGCCAAAAA